RNAcentral lists this non-coding RNA (785 nucleotides) under Euhampsonia serratifera. The record is from RNAcentral. Lineage: Eukaryota; Metazoa; Arthropoda; Insecta; Lepidoptera; Notodontidae.
CUAAUAUAAAUAAAUUUUUAUAGUUUAAUAAAUUUAUUUUAAAUUUAUUUUACAUAUAAAUUUUAGUGUUAAUUUUUAAUUAUUUUAAUAAUAUUUAAAUUAAUUUAUAUAGUAAUUAAUAUUAAAAAUUUAAGAAAUUAAGAUUUAGUAAUAAUAAAAUUAAUAACAAAUUUUGUGCCAGCAGUUGCGGUUAUACAAAAGUUAAAUUAAAUUUUAUUAGUAAUUAAUUAAUAAAAUUUAUAUAUUAAAAAUUUUAAAUUAUUAAGUGAAAUUUUAAUUUAAUUAAAAUUUAUGAUAAAUUUAUGAUUUAAUAAAUUUUAUAAAAAACUAGGAUUAGAUACCCUAUUAUUAAAAUUUUAAAUUAAAAUACUAAAAUAGUAAAUAAAUAAUUUAUUGAAACUUAAAUAAUUUGGCGGUAUUUUAGUUCAUUUAGAGGAAUCUGUUUAAUAAUUGAUAGUCCACGAAUAAAUUUACUUAAUUUUUUUUUUGUAUAUCGUUGUUAUAAAAAUAUUUUUUAAUAAUAAUAAUAUUUAAAUUUUUUAAUUUAAAAUUAAAUCAGAUCAAGAUGCAGAUUAUAAUUAAGAAUAUAAUGGAUUACAAUAAAUUAAUUUAAAUGAAUAUUAAUUUGUAAAAAUUAAUUGAAGGUGGAUUUAAAUGUAAUUUUAUUUAAUUUAAUAAAAUGAUUUAAAAUUAAAAUAUGUACAUAUUGCCCGUCGCUUUCAUAUAAAAUUAAGUUGAAAUAAGUCGUAACAAAGUAGAGGUACUGGAAAGUGUUUCUAGAAAGA